GCCGGGUGCAGUGGCCCAUGCCUGUAAUCCCAGCAGCUUGGGAGGCUGAGGCAGGAGGAUCCCGAGUUCCAAGCCAGCCUCAGUAAAAGUGAGAUGCUAAGUAAAUCAGUGAGACCCUGUCUCUA
This 125-nucleotide small RNA is filed under the name Marmota monax (woodchuck). Lineage: Eukaryota; Metazoa; Chordata; Mammalia; Rodentia; Sciuridae. The record is from RNAcentral.